Molecule: ribosomal RNA, 119 nt
Filed under: Petromyzon marinus (sea lamprey)
Lineage: Eukaryota; Metazoa; Chordata; Hyperoartia; Petromyzontiformes; Petromyzontidae
Source: RNAcentral
GCCUACGACCAUAUCACCCUGAAUGCGCCCGAUCUCGUCUGAUCUCGGAAGCUAAGCAUGGUCGAGCCUAAUUAGUACUUGGAUUGGAGACUGCCUGGGAAUACCAGGUGUUGUAGGCU